UACGGAGGGGGCAAGCGUUAUCCGGAAUGAUUGGGCGUAAAGCGUCCGCAGGUGGCUGUGUAAGUCUGCUGUUAAAUAGUGAGGCUCAACCUCAUAAAGGCAGUGGAAACUACACGGCUAGAGUGCGUUCGGGGCAGAGGGAAUUCCUGGUGUAGCGGUGAAAUGCGUAGAGAUCAGGAAGAACACCGGUGGCGAAAGCGCUCUGCUAGGCCGCAACUGACACUGAGAGACGAAAGCUAGGGGAGCGAAUGGG
Molecule: ribosomal RNA, 253 nt
Filed under: uncultured bacterium
Lineage: Bacteria
Description: partial 16S ribosomal RNA
Rfam family: Bacterial small subunit ribosomal RNA
Source: RNAcentral